AUGAGUAAGAGUCUGAGUCCGCGUUACCAAGGCCUAUCGACGUACGAGAAGGAGUACCUGGCUAUUGUGGUGGCACUCGACCAGUGGCGACCCUAUUUACAGCACAAUGAAUUCGUCAUUUUCACGGAUCAGAAAAGUCUCGUUCAUCUGGAAGAACAACGAUUAACAACUCCUUGGCAGCAGAGAGCUUUCACCAAGUUAUUAGGCCUUCGGUACACGAUCAGAUAUAAGAAAGGCUCAGACAACACUGCCGCUGAUCUACAAUUGCAACCUCAAGCUUAG
RNAcentral lists this ribosomal RNA (282 nucleotides) under Triticum aestivum (bread wheat). RNAcentral's name for it is "partial small subunit ribosomal RNA". Lineage: Eukaryota; Viridiplantae; Streptophyta; Magnoliopsida; Poales; Poaceae. The record is from RNAcentral.